This is a long non-coding RNA of Cyprinus carpio (common carp), 261 nucleotides long. Lineage: Eukaryota; Metazoa; Chordata; Actinopteri; Cypriniformes; Cyprinidae. The record is from Ensembl.
GCCUCGCGUCCUUUAUGAAUGGAAUAGCAUUAGCUUUGGAGUAAUGCUGACUGUGGUUUCUCUCUUUGAGGUUCGUGCCAGGUUUGGAAAACAGUUGUCGUAGCUGUUGUCAGGUAUGUAACAAUGUUUGAUGUAGGCUAAUACUAAAGUGUCAUGUUUUGUGUAAUUAUGUGUAUAAAAUAUAUUCUGCAGACGUCAACGAGGGUUUAUGUCAGAGUUAGAGAACUGUUGUCGGAGCUGCUGCUAGACCCGUCCUGAGUG